This 1004-nucleotide long non-coding RNA is filed under the name Brassica napus (rape). Its description in RNAcentral is "long non-coding RNA (BNAP_LNC018926)". The record is from RNAcentral. Lineage: Eukaryota; Viridiplantae; Streptophyta; Magnoliopsida; Brassicales; Brassicaceae.
AGAAAAUAAGCUUGACUUUUACAUCAUAAAGCUCGAACCAGACGGACUGCAAACGCUCCAUCCAAGGAGUGUUUCACUGGGUUGGAUAAAAAGACGCCUUGCGACGUUACAAAACUUGAUGGUACUAAUCUGUCUACUGGAUCUACCGAGAACUCAUAUGAAAGCAAGCAGAGAGAUAACUUAUAAAUAUCGACAUUUGAAACUAAAGCAAAGGGACUAUAAAGAUUCUUACAGGAUGUCUUAGGAGAAACGCUUCGACUCUUCCUUGAUUUUCUUCAGGGUCUAUCGAGCAAGUACUGUAUAUCAAGAACCCACCAGGCUUUACCAAUUUUUGAGAUUUUAAUUUAAGACACAAAGAGAAGUAUUAGUUAGGUUCAUCGGAAAGUCCAUCGAGAUAUCCCGAGGAAGUUCUCCCUCGGUAUAUUCCGAGGAGCUUUCCGACGAACUGGUGGUCCUCGGAGUUUCCUCGGAAAUUCGUUUCCUCGGAAUUCCGUCGGAAAUUUCCGAGGGAUUUCCGAGGAAAAAUGAAUUUCCGAGGACUUGUUUCGUCGGUAUGUCAUCGGAAUAACGUUAUUCCGACGACAUACCGACGAUUUUUUUCCCUCGGUAUGUCGCUGUUUUCUUGUAGUGUUUGGUCUCAUCAGAUACACAAAUGGAACCCUAUCUCUCUGUUAUCAAGAUGAUCAGAGAAAAUAAGCUUGACUUUUACAUCAUAAAGCUCGAACCAGACGGGCUGCAAACGCUCCAUCCAAGGAGUGUUUCACUGGGUUGGAUAAAAAGACGCCUUGCGACGUUACAAAACUUGAUGGUACUAAUCUGUCUACUGGAUCUACCGAGAACUCCUGUGAAAGCAAGCAGAGAGAUAACUUAUAAAUAUCGACAUUUGAAAGUAAAGCAAAGGGACUAUAAAGAUUCUUACAGGAUGUCUUAGGAGAAACGCUUCGACUCUUCCUUGAUUUUCUUCAGGGUCUAUCGAGCAAGUACUGUAUAUCAAGAACCCACCC